This 765-nucleotide ribosomal RNA is filed under the name Triticum aestivum (bread wheat). RNAcentral's name for it is "partial small subunit ribosomal RNA". The record is from RNAcentral. Lineage: Eukaryota; Viridiplantae; Streptophyta; Magnoliopsida; Poales; Poaceae.
AUGGAUCAGUCAAAUUUUAUGAUGGCUCUGCUGAUUCCAGGUCCCAAAUCACCUGGCAAGCACUUUGAUGUCUUUCUACAACCACUUGGAGAAGAAUUACUUGAGCUCUGGGAGGGUGUGCGUACAUAUGAUGCUCUUAGUGGAAAAAUGUUUGAUCGUCAUGCUGCAGUUCUAUGGUGCAUUCACGAUUACCCAGCUCUGAGCACUCUUUCAGGGCGUACCACAAGAGGCUAUUUUGCAUGUAUUCAUUGUGACAAACACCCUCUUUCUUAUAUCCUAAGGAGUAAAAUUGGGUAUAUUGGUCACUAUCGUUUCCUUCCAAGGGGUCAUCGUUUGCGGAGAAACAAUGAAUUUGUUGGUCUUCAUGAAAGCAAUGAUGAGCCAGGUAAAUUCUCUGAGAAAGUGUUGCAAGCAGAAUUGGAGAAUGUUAGACCUGGGAGACAACAAGAAAGUAGGAAAAGGAAGCGUUUUGACUUGGGCAGCAAGAAGGAUCAUGUGCCAAUUUCGGGCCGGAGGGUUUGUUUGUGGGAUUUGAAGUAUUGGGCAAAGUUGAAGCUGAGACACAAUCUUGAUGUCAUGCAUAUUGAGAAAAACAUUUGUGAAAAACUCAUUGGGACAAUUCUGAAUCUCGAGGGUAAGACAAAGGACACACUUAAUGCUAGGAUUGAUCUCAAAGAUUUGAAUAUUAAAGAGGAGUUGCAAUUGAGGAAGGAGGGAGACUCAUAUGUGAUGCCUCGGGCCCGAUAUACCUUGUCCAAAGAAUAA